This 75-nucleotide transfer RNA is filed under the name Paenibacillus psychroresistens. Its description in RNAcentral is "tRNA-Arg". It matches the Rfam family "tRNA". Rfam says of the family: Transfer RNA (tRNA) molecules are approximately 80 nucleotides in length. Their secondary structure includes four short double-helical elements and three loops (D, anti-codon, and T loops). RNAcentral also lists the same sequence under 1 other name. The record is from RNAcentral. Lineage: Bacteria; Bacillati; Bacillota; Bacilli; Caryophanales; Paenibacillaceae.
GCGCCCAUGGUCCAAUGGAUAUGACGCAGGCCUCCGAAGCCUGAGAUUGAGGUCCGAUUCCUCAUGGGCGCGCCA